CAGCAGCCGCGGUAAUACGAAGGGGGCUAGCGUUGUUCGGAUUUACUGGGCGUAAAGCGCACGUAGGCGGACUUUUAAGUCAGGGGUGAAAUCCCGGGGCUCAACCCCGGAACUGCCUUUGAUACUGGAAGUCUUGAGUAUGGUAGAGGUAUGUGGAACUCCGAGUGUAGAGGUGAAAUUCGUAGAUAUUCGGAAGAACACCAGUGGCGAAGGCGACAUACUGGAUCAUUACUGACGCUGAGGCUCGAAAGCGUGGGGAGCAAACAGGAUUAGAUACCCCUGUAGUCCCUGUCUCUUAUAC
RNAcentral lists this ribosomal RNA (301 nucleotides) under uncultured bacterium. Its description in RNAcentral is "partial 16S ribosomal RNA". It matches the Rfam family "Bacterial small subunit ribosomal RNA", at positions 509 to 807 of the family's 1533-position model. The record is from RNAcentral.